ACGUAGGGGGCAAGCGUUAUCCGGAAUUAUUGGGCGUAAAGAGUGCGUAGGUGGUUUUUUAAGCGUGAGGUGAAAGGCAAUAGCUUAACUAUUGUAAGCCUUGCGAACUGGAAGACUUGAGUGCAGGAGAGGAAAGUGGAAUUCCUAGUGUAGCGGUGAAAUGUGUGUAUAUUAGGAGGAACAACAGUGGCGUAGGCGACAUUCAGGAAUGUAACUGAGACUGAGCCACGAAAGCGUGGGGAGCAAAGAG
Molecule: ribosomal RNA, 250 nt
Filed under: uncultured prokaryote
Description: partial 16S rRNA
Rfam family: Bacterial small subunit ribosomal RNA
Source: RNAcentral